UUAGUCUCGACCCGUCGCUGCCAAAUCAGUGACCGGUUUUGGCAGGCCGUCAA
Molecule: non-coding RNA, 53 nt
Organism: Pseudomonas putida KT2440
Lineage: Bacteria; Pseudomonadati; Pseudomonadota; Gammaproteobacteria; Pseudomonadales; Pseudomonadaceae
Source: Rfam